Lactuca sativa (garden lettuce) is the source of this 1118-nucleotide non-coding RNA. The record is from RefSeq and is a predicted model, not a curated record. NCBI's taxonomy places the organism in Eukaryota, Viridiplantae, Streptophyta, Magnoliopsida, Asterales, Asteraceae.
AAUUUUGGUCCUUUGACCGGUUGGUCAAUGGGUGGGUGUGUGUCUUGGACACUUAUGUUCUUCCGACACUACAGAUGAUCCACCGCCUCAAGCUCGAUACCUUUUAAACAAACAAAAUCCAGUGCUUCUAAUCUUCUAAUUAUCCACUGCUUCCAAUCCAUUCAACAUUAACGAUGUGUCAAAAAUUUUUGUAUCUCUCUCAUCGGGUUUGAACCCCUCCCAAACCUCCGAUGUCGUUUCAUCGCCUUCAAUCGAAUCGACGCCGCCGUGAAAGGAAGACAACUUGUUGGUCCAAAACGAAAUCACGACUGCCAAUGAGGAACACGAUCGAUCGGAUUUCGAUAUUGACUAUGAGUUUGAAUCGGAGUCGGAGUCGGGGGUAUUUAGUGUAAUCAUCAGACGAUCAAAGCGGAAACGACAAGGUGAGGCGGCGGAGACAAUCGGUCGAUGAGGUCGACGGCUACCACUCCUCUGUAUUUCACUUUCUAUUAAUUUUGUUCUAUGUCGACUUUUAGUAAUUCGGUUUGGGGUUGUAGGUAACAGUCGAUCGUCAGAGGAAAAAUCUUUGGUAGAAUGAGGCAUUCGUUCUGCGCUCUACUCCCUUUCUGUAAAAGAACCCUAAUUUUCGCUCUUUCCUGGAACUCCAAAACGGAUCAUAGGUCUUUUAGAGGACCAAUCUCUGGUGAUUGACUUUUAAAAGGAACUUCAUGUAAUCAACCUACCAGAAGAGUAGGUAUUGGAUUCUAUUUUGGGGUUUUAUUGAGGGCGUAAUUUGGGGUUUUUUCAACACCUGUGCAUUUGCUUUAAUUCAACUCCAAGUGGACAUGAAAAAAAAAACCAAGUGCAGAAGCGAAGUAUUUAAUCUGUUGAUGCAUUUUAUCAAUGAUCACAAAAGUUUUGUAACAAUUUGCUUCUCACAUUUAGAUGAUUCUAAUGUUGUAUUUGUUUUUCUUUUGUUUUAGCUGGUGUCUCAACAUUAACAAUAAAGUAUGUUGCUAUUUCCCUCUAUUUAAAUGGAUUUUUGGUUUUGUGUGUAUAUGUAACUUUAUCCGAAACUAGGUAUAUGACUGUUUGUAUGCAUCCCUAUUUUAAAAUAGAAGUUCAUGUAUUAAAUUUGA